UUUGAAAUCUGGCACUUGUGCCCGAGUUGUAAUUUGUAGAGGAUGCUUUUGGCGACGCGCCUUCCGAGUUCCCUGGAACGGGACGCCAUAGAGGGUGAGAGCCCCGUCCGGUCGUGCGCCUAGCCUCUGUAAAGCUCCUUCGACGAGUCGAGUAGUUUGGGAAUGCUGCUCUAAAUGGGAGGUAUACGUCUUCUAAAGCUAAAUACCGGCCAGAGACCGAUAGCGCACAAGUAGAGUGAUCGAAAGAUGAAAAGCACUUUGAAAAGAGGGUUAAAUAGUACGUGAAAUUGCUGAAAGGGAAGCGCUUAUGACCAGACUUGGGCGCGGCGGAUCAUCCGGCGUUCUCGCCGGUGCACUCCACCGCCCCAGGCCAGCAUCAGUUCGCGCCGGGGGACAAAGGCUUCGGGAAUGUGGCUCCCUCGGGAGUGUUAUAGCCCGUUGCGUAAUACCCUGGUGCGGACUGAGGUCCGCGCUCUGCAAGGAUGCUGGCGUAAUGGUCAUCAGUGACCCGUCUUGAAACACGGACCAAGGAGUCGUCUUCGUAUGCGAGUGUUCGGGUGUCAAACCCCUACGCGGAAUGAAAGUGAACGUAGGAGAGAGCUUCGGCGCAUCUCCGACCGAUCCUGAUGUUCUCGGAUGGAUUUGAGUAAGAGCAUACGGGGCCGGACCCGAAAGAAGGUGAACUAUGCCUGUGUAGGGUGAAGCCAGAGGAAACUCUGGUGGAGGCUCGCAGCGGUUCUGACGUGCAAAUCGAUCGUCAAACAUGGGCAUGGGGGCGAAAGACUAAUCGAACCUUCUAGUAGCUGGUUUCCGCCGAAGUUUCCCUCAGGAUAGCAGUGUUGAACUCAGUUUUAUGAGGUAAAGCGAAUGAUUAGGGACCCGGGGGCGCUAUAUUGCCUUCAUCCAUUCUCAAACUUUAAAUAUGUAAGAAGCUCUUGUUGCUUAGUUGAACG
Molecule: ribosomal RNA, 953 nt
Filed under: Acremonium potronii
Lineage: Eukaryota; Fungi; Ascomycota; Sordariomycetes; Hypocreales; Bionectriaceae
Description: LSU rRNA
Rfam family: Eukaryotic large subunit ribosomal RNA
Source: RNAcentral